GUAAAUAAUUUCUGUGUUAGAACCUCAGAGGCUCUUCUGAGUAAAAUCCACAUUCUUUAGUGUUAUGAAAUUGUAGCAUUAAUUUUGUCUUUCCAGAAAGUUUUUCUUAACUUAUUGGUUCUUGACUGUGUUCUAGAUGGCUGAGAUUGCCAGAAGUCUGACCUCCAGAUAAAUGAGGUGUUGUCACACAUUGAGUGCAUAAAUAAAGGGAAGAAGCUUGGAGGGAAAAGUCACAGAGCCAUCAAAAGUUUACCCAAUUUAUUCAUCCCUCCACACUCAGAAUAGAAAAGGAAUUGAGCUUCAGAGAACAUGACUAAGAACUGUAGCCAAGUAAC
Molecule: long non-coding RNA, 335 nt
Filed under: Sarcophilus harrisii (Tasmanian devil)
Lineage: Eukaryota; Metazoa; Chordata; Mammalia; Dasyuromorphia; Dasyuridae
Description: lncRNA (ENSSHAG00000026153.1)
Source: RNAcentral